This is a long non-coding RNA of Chelonia mydas (Green sea turtle), 2094 nucleotides long. RefSeq lists it as uncharacterized. The transcript has 5 exons. Lineage: Eukaryota; Metazoa; Chordata; Testudines; Cheloniidae. The record is from RefSeq and is a predicted model, not a curated record.
AUUAAUUUUCCUGGAUGUCCCUAUGUAGAGAAGCCCUGAGGUUCUGAUCCAGCACUUAAGCACAAGCUUUAAACUUGUGCUUAAGUGUUUUGCUGCCCUGGGCAUUUGUGGCUAAAUAAGAUGUCAAUCUCCAAGGUUAUCAGUGUCUAUCACCCUGUAAUGAAAAUAAAGCUGGCUCAGAGAGAAUGGACCGCUCUGCCAGUGGAAGGGUAAAGCAUAUGGGAUCCAAAACAGUCUUGUAAAAUCAGCUGACCCAAGUACAACAGCCAAACCAGAUGAACUAAGCCUUGAUGAUGACAUCUGCUCCAAGGAGAGGGUUGCUGCAGCAACGGGGCUCUCCUGGAAGCAAACUGAGCAACUACUGUAUGAGCUACAAUACUACUGGGCCUACUCCGCUCCCGUGAAGCACUACUGCAAGAGGCUGUGGAAUCUAGCUGCAUAGUCCCUUGAACUUCUGUGUCCUGAGGGAUGAAAGCACCUGUGGGGCAGAGGGGAAGGAAGAGGAACUGCGGCAGAAUUGGGCAGUGCAAAGCAGGUGUAAUAAGGACAGGAGGAGCUGGGGAACGAUUAAAGUUGCAUCAUUCCCUGCGUCAUUCCCUGCUGUCAUUCCCACUGGGUUCUAGCUACCACAGGACUUGUCCAUUUUUCCACACUUGCCUGCUAGAGUGUGAUCCACUGCCAUCUGCUGACCUAUCUACAGCACCAGCAGAGAACUCUUCCUAUAAACUAUCCCCCUCUGCCUAAAUCCUACAGCAUGCUUUCUGCUCAAGAAUGAAAGGGCACGGGAGAAGCUGGGUGAAAUUAUGACUUGGAGUCACUGUUUCUUCUGUGGUCCUCUCCUGAUGUGGUGCAGUUACAUGCUGACCUCCAUUCAAGAGCAGUUUAACGAAGGUGCAGAGUGGGUUCUAUAAGAACUAUCAGAUCUGAAGUAAAAUCAGAAAGUUAUUGAAGAAGAGCUCCAAACUCCCUUAAAAAUGUGUCCAUGUGGUGCUGGCUAUUUGAAGAAUGACCCUUUUUACAUUUCAAUGUCAUAUCUGCCAUCAUCCUUUCAGGAGCAACAGACCCAAAUGGAAAGAGAAUGCAAACUAUGUCCUGCUGAGAAACUUGGAUCUGUUUUGCAGGUAGAGUUGAGCUAUGCUUCCCUGCACAUGAAAUCAAAGGAAACUUGUUAAAAUGUAAUUCUCCACUCUCACCAUAAGCAUCACAAUCUGUGGAUACAGUAUGUUGCAUACUUCUGGUUGCCUAGGGGAUUGUACCCCGUCCUGGUGGAUAGCGACCUGGUCUUGUCAAUUUCUGGCUGGUGCAAUAUACCUGGGUAUAAAGCAGUCAGCCCUUGGAGACAAUCCAGCUAGUACAAAAUGUGGCAGUUCAUCUCCUCAGGAGAUUCAGCAGCCCUGUCCUCCACUCUCUAUGUUGGCUGUCCAUACAUCAUUGAGUCAAAUUCAAGGUUUUGCCCACUAUUUUCAAGACGCUCAAUGGUCUGGGCCCAGCAUAGCGAAAAUAUGCUUGGAAGUUCUGUGAUGAGAACUCGACACAAUGGAGCCAUCCACAGCAAGUGUAACGCUCGUCUGUGAAGGAGACAGAGCUUUCUCGGCGGGUGGGUGGGGAAGAUGUUCAAGAACAAGGAACAGACUCCCAUUAGGGAAUAAGAAUGACCAGAAAUGGAUUCAGAAACCACCAAUAUUUCUCUAAUAUAAACACAGUGUGCAUAUGAUUUAUAGUAAAAAAUCAACUAAAUAGCAAUAUGCUACCCUGGCCUGUACACACACUUACCCCGGGGAGAGGAUCGGAGAGAGAAGGAAUCACACACGAGAGAUGUUAGUCACAUCACUUAAUGGAAGGCAUUCAGGGACUGUGGUGAUGAGGGUGGUGUGAGAACGUGAAUAGACUAGAACUUCCCUAACGAUACAACGUAAGCCUGUUAGACGUGACGUGCGUACCUUUUCCUGUGUAUCACCAAGGGCAGGUGGAGAUUUCCUUAGAAGCAGUGAACCAAAUCAGGACUAUUGUAAACCCAUGGAAGUUGGUGGUUAUACUAGGAAUUAGUCUGGUCCAUUGAACAUCACGUUAGCACAUUCAAAGAAAAUUUGUCCU